ACGGGAGGCAGCAGUGGGGAAUAUUGCACAAUGGGCGAAAGCCUGAUGCAGCGACGCCGCGUGAGUGAUGAAGUAUUUCGGUAUGUAAAGCUCUAUCAGCAGGGAAGAUAAUGACGGUACCUGACUAAGAAGCACCGGCUAAAUACGUGCCAGCAGCCGCGGUAAUACGUAUGGUGCAAGCGUUAUCCGGAUUUAUUGGGUUUAAAGGGUGCGCAGGCGGACCUUUAAGUCAGCGGUGAAAUCCCGUAGCUCAACUACGGAACUGCCGUUGAUACUGGAGGCCUUGAGUCGUGUCGAGGAUGGCGGAAUGCAGCGUGUAGCGGUGAAAUGCUUAGAUAUGCUGCAGAACUCCGAUUGUGAAGGCAGCUGUCCAGAGACGAACUGACGCUGAGGCACGAAAGCAUGGGUAUCAAACAGGAUUAGAUACCCUGGUA
Molecule: ribosomal RNA, 434 nt
Filed under: uncultured Lachnospiraceae bacterium
Lineage: Bacteria; Bacillati; Bacillota; Clostridia; Lachnospirales; Lachnospiraceae
Description: partial 16S ribosomal RNA
Rfam family: Bacterial small subunit ribosomal RNA
Source: RNAcentral